RNAcentral lists this ribosomal RNA (258 nucleotides) under Salmonella enterica subsp. enterica serovar Agona str. 400095 17. RNAcentral's name for it is "partial 23S ribosomal RNA". It matches the Rfam family "Bacterial large subunit ribosomal RNA", at positions 2677 to 2925 of the family's 2925-position model. The record is from RNAcentral. Lineage: Bacteria; Pseudomonadati; Pseudomonadota; Gammaproteobacteria; Enterobacterales; Enterobacteriaceae.
CCUAGUACGAGAGGACCGGAGUGGACGCAUCACUGGUGUUCGGGUUGUCAUGCCAAUGGCACUGCCCGGUAGCUAAAAUGCGGAAGAGAUAAGUGCUGAAAGCAUCUAAGCACGAAAACUUGCCCCGAGAUGAGUUCUCCCUGAGACUUAGAGUCUCCUGAAGGAACGUUGAAGACGACGACGUUGAUAGGCCGGGUGUGUAAGCGCAGCGAUGCGUUGAGCUAACCGGUACUAAUGAACCGUGAGGCUUAACCUUAC